AAUCAGUUAUGGUUCCUUAGAUCGUUCAUACUACAUGGAUAACUGUGGUAAUUCUAGAGCUAAUACAUGCAAAAAGCUCCGACCGUAUGGGAAGAGCGCUUUUAUUAGACCAAAACCAAUGGGGUCGCAAGACUCCUUUGUAUGGUGACUCUGGAUAACUUUGUGCUGAUCGCAUGGCCUAGAGCCGGCGACGUAUCUUUCAAGUGUCUGCCCUAUCAACUUUCGAUGGUAAGCGAUUUGCCUACCAUGGUUGUAACGGGUAACGGGGAAUCAGGGUUCGAUUCCGGAGAGGGAGCAUGAGAAAUGGCUACCACAUCUACGGAAGGCAGCAGGCGCGCAAAUUACCCACUCCUAGAACGGGGAGGUAGUGACGAAAAAUAACAAUACCGGACUCAAUGAGGCUCGGUAAUUGAAAUGAGUACAGUUUAAAACCCUUAACGAGGAUCUAUUGGAGGGCAAGUCUGGUGCCAGCAGCCGCGGUAAUUCCAGCUCCAAUAGCGUAUAUUAAAGUUGUUGCAGUUAAAAAGCUCGUAGUUGGAUCUCGGGUACUAGCAUGUGGUACGCUUAAUUGCUGUUACUACAUGUCUGGUCCUAAUCAACCGGUUGGCCGUUGAUGUCCUUUAUUGGGUGUUUUCGGUAGCCGGUACGUUUACUUUGAGAAAAUUAGAGUGCUUAAAGCAGGCCUUACGCCUGAAUAAUGUUGCAUGGAAUAAUAGAAUAGGACCUCGGUUCUAUUUUGUUGGUUUUGUAGAGCAUUGAGGUAAUGAUUAAUAGGGACAGACGGGGGCAUUCGUAUU
Molecule: ribosomal RNA, 797 nt
Filed under: Brachionus quadridentatus brevispinus
Lineage: Eukaryota; Metazoa; Rotifera; Eurotatoria; Ploima; Brachionidae
Description: SSU rRNA
Rfam family: Eukaryotic small subunit ribosomal RNA
Source: RNAcentral